RNAcentral lists this ribosomal RNA (1236 nucleotides) under metagenome. RNAcentral's name for it is "bacterial LSU rRNA". It matches the Rfam family "Bacterial large subunit ribosomal RNA", at positions 1564 to 2810 of the family's 2925-position model. The record is from RNAcentral.
UGAAUACGAGAUGCUACGGCGUCGAAGCAGUCUAUGUCAUACUUCCAAGAAAAGCUUGCACUGUCAUAAACAAAUAAUGCCUGUACCAUAACCGACACAGGUGGGUAGGUAGAGUAUACUAAGGGGCGCGAGAUAACUCUCUCUAAGGAACUCGGCAAAAUGACUCCGUAACUUCGGGAGAAGGAGUGCCUUAUUUAUAAGGUUGCAAUAACAAGAUCCAAGCAACUGUUUACCAAAAACACAGGUCUCCGCUAAGUCGUAAGACGAUGUAUGGGGGCUGACGCCUGCCCAGCGCCAGAAGGUUAAAGAAGUUGGUUAGCAUCCGCGAAGCUGAUAACUGAAGCCCUGGUGAACGGCGGCCGUAACUAUAACGGUCCUAAGGUAGCGAAAUUCCUUGUCGGGUAAGUUCCGACCCGCACGAAAGGCGUAAUGAUUUGGAUACUGUCUCGGAGAGGGGCUCGGUGAAAUAGACUUGUCUGUGAAGAUGCGGACUACCUGCACCAGGACAGAAAGACCCUAUGAAGCUUUACUGUAACCUGAAAUUGAAAUUGGACUUUACUUGCGCAGUAUAGGUGGGAGGCGUUGAGAAUAUUCUUGCGGGAUUAUUGGAGCCAUCAGUGAGAUACCACUCUUGUAAUGUUAGAUUUCUAACUUUGUAUCAUUAUCUGGUCAAAGAACAGUUUCAGGCGGGCAGUUUGACUGGGGCGGUCGCCUCCUAAACGGUAACGGAGGCGCACAAAGGUUUCCUCUGAACGGGUAGAAAUCGUAUCUAGAGUGUAAAGGCAUAAGGAAGCUUGACUGUGAGACCUACAAGUCGAGCAGGGACGAAAGUCGGUCUUAGUGAUCUGACGGUGCUGAGUGGAAAGGCCGUCACUCAACGGAUAAAAGUUACUCUAGGAUAACAGGCUGAUCUCCCCCAAGAGUUCACAUCGACGGGGAGGUUUGGCACCUCGAUGUCGGCUCAUCGCAUCCUGGGGCGGUAGUACGUCCCAAGGGUUGGGCUGUUCGCCCAUGAAAGCGGUACGCGAGCUGGGUUCAGAACGUCGUGAGACAGUUCGGUCCAUAUCCGGUGUAGGCGUUAGAAUAUUGAGAGGAGCCUUCUUUAGUACGAGAGGACCGAGAAGGACAUACCUCUGGUGUACCAGUUAUCGUGCCAACGGUAAACGCUGGGUAGCUAUGUGUGGAGUGGAUAACCGCUGAAAGCAUCUAAGUGGGAAGCCCACCUCAAGAUAAGUA